AUUUCAGGCAUGUUGAUUUUUAGUUUCUAGAGUUAGAAUUGAAUGGGCGGAAGGAACUCAGCUUGAUGUACUUUAGUUUCUGGGUUUUCUUCUUUCUCUCUUUGUUACUGACUUUGUUUCAGGUGCUGUACCUGUUCAGUCUAUUGCUCCUAGGCCGAUUGGCUCUAGAUGUUUGAAGAAACUCAGGUUAUGUUUGAAUAUGGAAUUUUAAAUUCAACUAUUCAAGGAUUUGAAUUUAAACUCUUAAUUCAAAUUGAAUGAAUCAAUAUUUGGACUUGUGACCAAUGAAUGUAAGAAAUCAAUUAAAGUAAACCCAUGUGUUG
Molecule: unclassified non-coding RNA, 323 nt
Filed under: Hevea brasiliensis (rubber tree)
Lineage: Eukaryota; Viridiplantae; Streptophyta; Magnoliopsida; Malpighiales; Euphorbiaceae
Source: RNAcentral